AUAUAAAUACAUGACAUAUAACAUUGUUCCUCUUUCGCAUCGUUUCUUUUUCCUCUGCUAAUACCUCCAACGCUUGUACGUACAAUAAACUUAGCAGCAACUGCAUAUAUACCAAUGUGACCAACUUCAAUUCGACGUAACUGCAAGCACCUUCGAUACUAAUACAUUUAAAUGCCAAACUUUAUAUAGUACCAUUAAACCCCACCCUUAGAAACCGCCA
Molecule: long non-coding RNA, 220 nt
Filed under: Mytilus galloprovincialis (Mediterranean mussel)
Lineage: Eukaryota; Metazoa; Mollusca; Bivalvia; Mytilida; Mytilidae
Source: RNAcentral